Leptopilina heterotoma is the source of this 349-nucleotide long non-coding RNA. RefSeq lists it as uncharacterized. Lineage: Eukaryota; Metazoa; Arthropoda; Insecta; Hymenoptera; Figitidae. The record is from RefSeq and is a predicted model, not a curated record. The transcript is spliced from 3 exons.
GACCAGCUUAGUUCGAAAGUUGCUAAAAUUUCCCAUUAUUGAAGUUUUUUAUUGUUCGUAAAGUAUUUUUUAACAGAAAUACACCACCCAGUAGUGUUAAAUAGUUAGUGAUUAUUUUUUUUUAGUAAAAAGUGUUAAAAUCCAGUGCGCGUCAAUUUUGUCAACAAGUGCUUCACUUUUCACCGGUCUGUGUCGUUUCCAACCUCUCUUUUCAUCUCUAAAUGGUUAUUUUUUACUAGUGAUGAAAUAAUGGAGAGAUAAUUUUUGCUGUGAUAAUGAACAUAAAUCACGAUCAAGGAAGGCGCACUCGCAAAAAAUAGUGGAAUUUGAUGCUCGCAAGACUGCUAAC